CAACAUCCCAAAAUCCUACCUUUGUGCCAAAGAGUCCACUAAUCUGUGUGUGGAAACUCUUGGAGGCAGCUGGGAGGAAAAUCAGACUGUUAUGAUUUAUGAACAGGGAUGCCUUACGUACCUUGUUGAAAUCCUCAUGCAUGGAUUUAAGAUUUUUUUUGGGCACGUUACUGGGAUUUUUAUUAUUGUGGAUGUAGUCCCUCGUGUUGUGUAGAGCCAUCUUGUGCCAGCUGAAUCGAAACAGAGAAACCUCGGUAGUGAACUAAGGUGCAGAGGCAAAAGCAGGCAACUGCACCACCCUCACAGAGCCUCCAGACCACUUCCGAUGUCUUUGCUAGUUCUGAUGCUUCCAGCAGUGAUGGCCAUUAUUUAAGCAUGCUAAAUAAUAAAUAUAUUUAUGAUAAUUGGUUAUAUUGAAUAUAUCAUAUCCUACAACUGCAUUAUGGACUGCUUUAUUAUGACUUUCUGAAUUUCAACUCAGUUGAUUGAGAUUAUUGAUCUGGGAUAUCAACACUGAGUGAAAAUGCACUGUUUAAAGCUAAUAUAACUAAACAUAUAUCGAAAACAAACUGAAUAUCA
Molecule: long non-coding RNA, 579 nt
Organism: Haplochromis burtoni (Burton's mouthbrooder)
Lineage: Eukaryota; Metazoa; Chordata; Actinopteri; Cichliformes; Cichlidae
Exons: 4
Source: RefSeq, a predicted model, not a curated record